UACAGAGGCCUCGAGCGUUAGGCGGAAUCACUGGGCUUAAAGCGUGUGUAGGCGGACUUCUAAGUGCCUCGUGAAAUCCCACGGCUCACCCGUGGAACUGCUGGGCAUACUGGGAGUCUUGAGCCACCUAGGGGCGAGCGGAACAAAUGGUGGAGCGGUGAAAUGCGUAGAUAUCAUUUGGAACGCCAACGGAGAAAUCAGCUCGCUGGGGGUGUGCUGACGCUGAGACACGAAAGCCAGGGGAGCAAACGGG
This 253-nucleotide ribosomal RNA is filed under the name uncultured bacterium. Its description in RNAcentral is "partial 16S ribosomal RNA". It matches the Rfam family "Bacterial small subunit ribosomal RNA", at positions 524 to 776 of the family's 1533-position model. The record is from RNAcentral.